This 350-nucleotide unclassified non-coding RNA is filed under the name Hevea brasiliensis (rubber tree). Lineage: Eukaryota; Viridiplantae; Streptophyta; Magnoliopsida; Malpighiales; Euphorbiaceae. The record is from RNAcentral.
GAAACUUAAAAAGGAGCAAUACAUAUCCAGAUUUUGCAUCAUUGGUUGGGUCAGCCCACUGUGGAUUGAACUCCAAAUCCAAUGAGCUCUUCGCAGGAACAAGGAACUGUUCUUUUAACAGUGUAUUUGUCAAUUCUAAUGAGAACUUUUUGGCACAAAAGGUGUAGUGAAGGGUUAUGAGGUGUUCCUUCUCUUUCCCAUCUCAGGAAUGAGUGAGAUCAUGUUCUUUAAUCUCAUCCAAUUUUAGUGCUUUUCCAGCAAAAGAAGAGACUUGGAUUCUACACCAAGCCUGGAUCAUAACAACGAUAGGAGCUACUCGUUCAAGCCGACUUCACCACACUACUAUUUGC